Pelobates cultripes (western spadefoot toad) is the source of this 466-nucleotide non-coding RNA. The record is from the annotation of a GenBank genome assembly. Lineage: Eukaryota; Metazoa; Chordata; Amphibia; Anura; Pelobatidae.
UUUCUGUAUCCAAAUCUCAAGUAGGAGAUUCCACUGGCAGUAUUACUUUAUCUUCUGCCAAUCAUGUAUAUAUGAUCAUUGGGUAACUAUUAUCUGAGCACCAAACUGUCUGUGAUUUAAUAUUUUGGUAGUUGUGUUUUUGUUUUUUGUUUCUGUGUCUGUAUAAUAUAUAGAUCAUAAUAUAAUAGUAACUCAGAGUUAUGCCCUGUGCUCAAACGUCUACAAUGGCUCUUAAAGAAUAAGCUCACCUCCCAUGUCUUAGCCAAUAUAUAGACUGUAGAUUCGCGUGUAUGAAAAAUUUCGGCAUUCAGCAAACCGUGCCAGUCUUCUGUUGCGUAGAAAACAUGGUUCUUGCAUAACCCCUACUUUAAGUGGACUGGAGGGAGAACCUGAAUAUCGAACUAUCUAUCUUGCUGCUCAGGGUCCUGAAUCACACUGGCUGCAUAUAUUAGUACUUUAAAAUAUC